CCUGAAGCUGAGGCUCCAAGACUCUGGCCACCUCCUGAGAAGACUCCCUGGAAAAGACCCUGAUGUUGGGAAAGAUGGAGGGCGCAAGGAGAAGGGGACGACAGAGGACGAGAUGGUGGGACAGUGUUCUCGAAGCUACCAGCAUGAGGGAGGCAGUGGAAGACAGGAGGGCCUGGUGUGCUCUGGUCCAGGGGGUCACCAAGAGGCGGACACGACUAAACAACAACACACACACGUGUCCACAAACACCAAAUCUCUUUCAUUGUAACUACAGGUAAUGCAAUAGGAUUCCUUCUGCACAUGGCCUUUGCAACACAGCUCAGUUACAUGCUAACAAAUAUCUACAAUAUUUUAAUCACUUUUAAUCUAAGACAAAUUUCUCAAAGUCUCAGAUUCAGUAGAUGAGAAGGUACAUAUUAAUUUCAGAAAAAUAAGGCAUCUCUCCUUCAUCAUCAUCAUCAUCAUCAAGCAUUUCUCCUUCGCCAGAGUGGCUGGGAAAACCCAGAGGUACAAAUAAAAGCAGCAGCAUCAUCUGACUUAUUGGAUGUAUUGAAGCAGAGCUUGAAUGUCUGCCAGGGAUUCUUCAGUUGUGAUUCCUGGCUUGCAGCUGGCAGGGCUCCCUUCCCACUCUACAAUUCUAUUAUUCCCAAAUUGGGAAGGGUCCCUUUUUGGGGAUCCAUGUUCUCUAUUACGUACUGGAUAUCAUUUGUUGCACAAUGUGCCAUUUAGCCACGAGGUGGCAGCCUGUGCCCAUCAAUACUGCAUUUACAACCUGCUGACGACUGGUGCAAAGUGAAAACACUUGAGAGCGCAAGACCCCUGUUACUUGACCUGGUCAAAGACCCCCCACCCCAGUUCAGCAUCUUCUUCUCACAGAGGCCAAGCAAAGCCCCCUCUGUCGGAGGAGAUGUCUCAUCCAAGCCCAGAUUUUAAAAAUGUAGGGAGAUGAGAAGAGCGACCUUGAAGUUUGCUGGCUGCUGGGAGAGCAAACUGAGCAGGAGCCCCCUCGUCUUCCUCAAUAGGGUGACGCAGAUCGUUUUCCUUUCUAAAUUAUAGUCCCCAUGAAAAGUCACCAAUGUUUGAGUGCAAAUUGCUCCUAAUAGGCACAUGUACAAUUUUGCCUAAUAGACACAUUUUUUGCAAAGCAAUUCCCCCUGAAGGCAAUAUAUUCUUUUGUAUGUUAUUUUCACUAAUGUGGAUGAAUUUUAAAUCCACAAUUUGCCCUAAUCUGUUUAUUAAUAUAGACAUUGCUUACCUGGAGAACUAUGCUUCAAAAUUUGGGGAAGUGCAAAUUCUUUCAAAUUACAAGAAAGGCGAUUCCAUCUAAACAUUAGGAAUAAUAAUAAUAGUAAUAAUUUUAUUAUUUAUACCCCACCCAUCUGGGAAUUUUCUGACACUAAAAGCUGUUUGACAGUGGAACAGACUACAUCAGAAGCUGGUGGACAUUUUAAGGCAUAAGUCAGACGGCCAUCUGCCAGGCAUUCUGAGCUGUGGUUCCUGCAUUGCAGAGGGUUGGACUAGAUGACCCUUGGUGUCCCUUCUGACUCUAUGAUUCAGUGCAUUUUCAGUUCCCAUAUUGUUUGGGAAAGUGCAGAUUAGGCAGGUUCAUCUUCCAGUGCAAAAGGGAUCAAUUUUCUUCCUCCGCCCUUGCAUUUUAUAGAUGAACUGCAAUCAAUCCUUUCUGUUCCACACGCUCUGAGCGAGGCCGACCUGUUGCCGCUCCCUCGAUGGGCAAAGAGCCAGAAAGGUCAGGACUUCAUCUGUGUGAACCGGGCAAGAUCUAAGCUCUGCUGUGAUGAAUUCUUCCAGCCACCCCCCGGGGGCCUGCGCAGCGGCCGUCAGUCUUCCUGGCACUUGGCAUUUUUGCCGUUUCAGAGACUUUUUGAGGGCCCCUGCGGGCCCAGGAAUAUUGAGGCAACAAUUCACACUCAACACUAAACAAGACAUCAGCAAAAAUUGGGAAAGUCUGAAAAGGGAGCCUCAGUGGGAUAAAUGCGUGGGCCACAGAAGAACCAAGCGGGGGGAGGUUUGAUUCUGUUCCAUGACGGCAAACUUAAGAACAUGUGAAUUGUUAGAAUUUCUGCUCCGUGAUUGCAGUCAUGGGAUUGUUGUCAAUCCCAUGACGGUGUAUGUUUUGACUCCACAGAGUGGGAAGUGAAGGAGACAGGAUGUUUGUGUUCAUGUGUUCUGUGAAGUGGGACUAUUGUCCUUUGUUCUUUUUCUCUCUGCUGUCUGAUGCUAGAGAGAGAG
Molecule: long non-coding RNA, 2250 nt
Filed under: Podarcis lilfordi (Lilford's wall lizard)
Lineage: Eukaryota; Metazoa; Chordata; Lepidosauria; Squamata; Lacertidae
Source: RNAcentral